GACAGAGGUGCCGAGCGUUAGGCGGAAUCACUGGGCUUAAAGCGUGUGUAGGCGGAUUUUUAAGUACCUUGUGAAAUCCCUCGGCUCAACCGAGGAACUGCAUCCGAUACUAGCGGGCUUGAAUCCGGAAGAGGGAUGUGGAAUUCCAGGUGUAGCGGUGAAAUGCGUAGAUAUCUGGAGGAACACCGGUGGCGAAGGCGGCAUCCUGGACCAACACUGACGCUGAGGAGCGAAAGCCAGGGGAGCAAACGGG
Molecule: ribosomal RNA, 253 nt
Filed under: uncultured bacterium
Lineage: Bacteria
Description: partial 16S ribosomal RNA
Rfam family: Bacterial small subunit ribosomal RNA
Source: RNAcentral